Molecule: RNase P RNA, 322 nt
Filed under: human gut metagenome
Description: Bacterial RNase P class A
Rfam family: Bacterial RNase P class A
About the family: Ribonuclease P (RNase P) is a ubiquitous endoribonuclease, found in archaea, bacteria and eukarya as well as chloroplasts and mitochondria.
Source: RNAcentral
CUUGUUAGGUAAUCGCUAGCUGAAAAGCUAGAGGAAAGUCCGGGCAGUAUAGAGCAAGACAGUUGUUAACGACAACCGAGGGAAACCUUAGGGAAAGUGCCACAGAAACGAUACCGCCUGAAAAGGUAAGGGUGAAAGGAGUGAGGUAAGAGCUCACAGUUGCUCGUGGUGACGCGAAGCAAGAGGUAAACCCUGUCUACUGCAAGGAGAAUUAUAAAAAAUGGUUGCUCGCCAUAAUUCGAUAACCGCUCGAUUUAAAGAGUAAUCUUUAAACUAGAUAGAUGAUUACCCACGACAGAACCCGGCUUACAGACAGGCUUUU